This 116-nucleotide ribosomal RNA is filed under the name Penicillium chrysogenum. The record is from RNAcentral. Lineage: Eukaryota; Fungi; Ascomycota; Eurotiomycetes; Eurotiales; Aspergillaceae.
AUGACCAUAGGGUGUGGAAAAUAGGGCUUCCCGUCCGCUCAGCCGUACUCAAGCCACACGCCGGUGAGUUAGUAGUUGGGUGGGUGACCACCAGCGAAUCCUCACUGUUGUAUGUU